This is an unclassified non-coding RNA of Stylophora pistillata, 826 nucleotides long. The record is from RefSeq and is a predicted model, not a curated record. NCBI's taxonomy places the organism in Eukaryota, Metazoa, Cnidaria, Anthozoa, Scleractinia, Pocilloporidae.
UGUUGUCGUUUGCCGUAAGACUACAGUUUUCUGUGUUAGAGUAAGUGUCUGUUUGGAUUUCCCGUUUCGCUUCCGAAUACCUAACUUAUAUUGAAGGUCGUUUUGGUUCAAUUCUUACAAGCGGGACUGUUAUGUCAUGAUAAAAAUCACUCGUCUAAGGACGGUUUCUUAUUAGUUGCCUUCGUCAGCACCAUCUUCAUCACAUGUGUCGAUCAUGGAGUGACAGGCGAUUGUGAUGGUCCUGAUGAAGCAAACAUGGAACCCCAACAUUGUACGGGGUAUGAGAUCGCAACGCAUCCAGUAUCGACAAUAGUCCAGUGCUUGGACGAAUGUCUCCGUCUUCCACACUGCGACAAAUUAAUUUUUACCGGGAAUGGAAGCGAAAGCUGUAAACUUUUGAGUACAGAUGGCAUCUCCACUGCUUUUGAUGCUCGAAACUUACCGCAGAUAACCGGUGCAUGCGCACCAACGGACAUGAAUAUUGUCCGACAGUUUCUUUUGGGAACCGAGGACUGCCCUCAGCCAACAUCCAAAAAGUCAAACUAUCCAGAUGAUCGAUGAGGAUGUAUGUCGCCAAGUGGUUGCCGAUCAUAUUGUCAAAAGUAGUAGUAGAAUUUAGCGCUCUUGUUGUUGUUGCUGCUCGUAGUUCCGUGUAACUGGAAUGUAACUGCUUAGCCAUGUAAGGUCUGGGACAAGACCAGGAUGAUGUAGAUUAAAGUGUCAAAAGUAAAACGUCACACGUUUUCUUUGACCCUUUACAGACUCCUAAGACUCUGAUUGUAAAAUUCUCCUCUGUAGCUGCUACACAUUUCCUUGUAAAUUGGUU